CACCGCGGUUAUACGAGAGGCCCAAGUUGAUAGCCUACGGCGUAAAGAGUGGUUAAGAUGUCUAAUUUAUUAAAGCCGAAUGCCCCCAAAGCUGUUAUACGCUUCCGGAGAUAAGAAGAACCACCACGAAAGUGGCUUUAUGUGAUCUGAACCCACGAAAGCUAGGAAA
This 169-nucleotide ribosomal RNA is filed under the name Fistularia commersonii (bluespotted cornetfish). Its description in RNAcentral is "partial 12S ribosomal RNA". The record is from RNAcentral. Lineage: Eukaryota; Metazoa; Chordata; Actinopteri; Syngnathiformes; Fistulariidae.